UACGAAGGGGGCUAGCGUUGUUCGGCUUUACUGGGCGUAAAGCGCACGUAGGCGGAUCGAUCAGUCAGGGGUGAAAUCCCGGGGCUCAACCUCGGAACUGCCUUUGAUACAGCAAGUCUUGAGUUCGAGAGAGGUGGGUGGAAUUCCUAGUGUAGAGGUGAAAUUCGUAGAUAUUAGGAAGAACACCGGUGGCGAAGGCGGCCCACUGGCUCGAUACUGACGCUGAGGUGCGAAAGCGUGGGGAGCAAACAGG
Molecule: ribosomal RNA, 253 nt
Filed under: uncultured bacterium
Lineage: Bacteria
Description: partial 16S ribosomal RNA
Rfam family: Bacterial small subunit ribosomal RNA
Source: RNAcentral